CGGACGGGUGAGUAAUGUCUGGGAAAACUGCCUGAUGGAGGGGGAUAACUACUGGAAACGGUAGCUAAUACCGCAUAACGUCGCAAGACCAAAGAGGGGGACCUUCGGGCCUCUUGCCAUCGGAUGUGCCCAGAUGGGAUUAGCUAGUAGGUGGGGUAACGGCUCACCUAGGCGACGAUCCCUAGCUGGUCUGAGAGGAUGACCAGCCACACUGGAACUGAGACACGGUCCAG
RNAcentral lists this ribosomal RNA (233 nucleotides) under uncultured bacterium. RNAcentral's name for it is "partial 16S ribosomal RNA". It matches the Rfam family "Bacterial small subunit ribosomal RNA", at positions 99 to 334 of the family's 1533-position model. The record is from RNAcentral.